AUACGGAGGGUGCGAGCGUUAAUCGGAAUUACUGGGCGUAAAGCGCGCGUAGGCGGCUAAGUAAGUCGGAUGUGAAAGCCCUGGGCUCAACCUGGGAAUUGCAUUCGAUACUGCUUGGCUAGAGUAUGGUAGAGGGUAGUGGAAUUCCUGGUGUAGCGGUGAAAUGCGUAGAUAUCUGGAGGAACAUCAGUGGCGAAGGCGGCUACCUGGACCAAUACUGACGCUGAGGUGCGAAAGCGUGGGGAGCAAACAGGAUUAGAAACCCCAGUAGUCC
This 274-nucleotide ribosomal RNA is filed under the name uncultured bacterium. RNAcentral describes it as "partial 16S ribosomal RNA". It matches the Rfam family "Bacterial small subunit ribosomal RNA", at positions 523 to 796 of the family's 1533-position model. The record is from RNAcentral.